Molecule: ribosomal RNA, 1522 nt
Filed under: metagenome
Description: bacterial SSU rRNA
Rfam family: Bacterial small subunit ribosomal RNA
Source: RNAcentral
AGAGUUUGAUCAUGGCUCAGAUUGAACGCUGGCGGCAGGCCUAACACAUGCAAGUCGAACGGUAACAGGAAACAGCUUGCUGUUUCGCUGACGAGUGGCGGACGGGUGAGUAAUGUCUGGGAAACUGCCUGAUGGAGGGGGAUAACUACUGGAAACGGUAGCUAAUACCGCAUAACGUCGCAAGACCAAAGAGGGGGACCUUCGGGCCUCUUGCCAUCAGAUGUGCCCAGAUGGGAUUAGCUAGUAGGUGGGGUAACGGCUCACCUAGGCGACGAUCCCUAGCUGGUCUGAGAGGAUGACCAGCCACACUGGAACUGAGACACGGUCCAGACUCCUACGGGAGGCAGCAGUGGGGAAUAUUGCACAAUGGGCGCAAGCCUGAUGCAGCCAUGCCGCGUGUAUGAAGAAGGCCUUCGGGUUGUAAAGUACUUUCAGCGGGGAGGAAGGGAGUAAAGUUAAUACCUUUGCUCAUUGACGUUACCCGCAGAAGAAGCACCGGCUAACUCCGUGCCAGCAGCCGCGGUAAUACGGAGGGUGCAAGCGUUAAUCGGAAUUACUGGGCGUAAAGCGCACGCAGGCGGUUUGUUAAGUCAGAUGUGAAAUCCCCGGGCUCAACCUGGGAACUGCAUCUGAUACUGGCAUGCUUGAGUCUCGUAGAGGGGGGUAGAAUUCCAGGUGUAGCGGUGAAAUGCGUAGAGAUCUGGAGGAAUACCGGUGGCGAAGGCGGCCCCCUGGACGAAGACUGACGCUCAGGUGCGAAAGCGUGGGGAGCAAACAGGAUUAGAUACCCUGGUAGUCCACGCCGUAAACGAUGUCGACUUGGAGGUUGUGCCCUUGAGGCGUGGCUUCCGGAGCUAACGCGUUAAGUCGACCGCCUGGGGAGUACGGCCGCAAGGAUAAAACUCAAAUGAAUUGACGGGGGCCCGCACGAGCGGUGGAGCAUGUGGUUUAAUUCGAUGCAACGCGAAGAACCUUACCUGGUCUUGACAUCCACGGAAGUUUUCAGAGAUGAGAAUGUGCCUUCGGGAACCGUGAGACAGGUGCUGCAUGGCUGUCGUCAGCUCGUGUUGUGAAAUGUUGGGUUAAGUCCCGCAACGAGCGCAACCCUUAUCCUUUGUUGCCAGCGGUCCGGCCGGGAACUCAAAGGAGACUGCCAGUGAUAAACUGGAGGAAGGUGGGGAUGACGUCAAGUCAUCAUGGCCCUUACGACCAGGGCUACACACGUGCUACAAUGGCGCAUACAAAGAGAAGCGACCUCGCGAGAGCAAGCGGACCUCAUAAAGUGCGUCGUAGUCCGGAUUGGAGUCUGCAACUCGACUCCAUGAAGUCGGAAUCGCUAGUAAUCGUGGAUCAGAAUGCCACGGUGAAUACGUUCCCGGGCCUUGUACACACCGCCCGUCACACCAUGGGAGUGGGUUGCAAAAGAAGUAGGUAGCUUAACCUUCGGGAGGGCGCUUACCACUUUGUGAUUCAUGACUGGGGUGAAGUCGUAACAAGGUAACCGUAGGGGAACCUGCGGUUG